RNAcentral lists this transfer RNA (72 nucleotides) under Bos taurus (domestic cattle). It matches the Rfam family "tRNA". From Rfam's summary of the family: Transfer RNA (tRNA) molecules are approximately 80 nucleotides in length. Their secondary structure includes four short double-helical elements and three loops (D, anti-codon, and T loops). Lineage: Eukaryota; Metazoa; Chordata; Mammalia; Artiodactyla; Bovidae. The record is from Rfam by way of RNAcentral. RNAcentral also lists the same sequence under 1 other name.
UCCCUGGUGGCUCAGAUGGUAAAGAAUCUGCCUGCAGUGCAGGAGACUCAGGUUCAAUCCCUGGAUUGGGAA